CAGCAGCCACGGUAAUACGGAGGGGGCUAGCGUUGUUCGGAAUUACUGGGCGUAAAGCGCACGUAGGCGGCUUUGUAAGUCAGAGGUGAAAGCCCGGGGCUCAACCCCGGAAUUGCCUUUGAGACUGCAUCGCUUGAAUCCAGGAGAGGUGAGUGGAAUUCCGAGUGUAGAGGUGAAAUUCGUAGAUAUUCGGAAGAACACCAGUGGCGAAGGCGGCUCACUGGACUGGUAUUGACGCUGAGGUGCGAAAGCGUGGGGAGCAAACAGGAUUAGAUACCCGAGUAGUCCCUGUCUCUUAUAC
Molecule: ribosomal RNA, 301 nt
Filed under: uncultured bacterium
Lineage: Bacteria
Description: partial 16S ribosomal RNA
Rfam family: Bacterial small subunit ribosomal RNA
Source: RNAcentral